This 420-nucleotide ribosomal RNA is filed under the name uncultured bacterium. Its description in RNAcentral is "partial 16S ribosomal RNA". It matches the Rfam family "Bacterial small subunit ribosomal RNA", at positions 361 to 774 of the family's 1533-position model. The record is from RNAcentral.
AUCUUCUGCAAUGGACGAAAGUCUGACCGAGCAACGCCGCGUGUGUGAUGAAGGUUUUCGGUUCGUAUAGCUCUCUUGCCAGCGAAGAACGCUUGGUAGAGUAACUGCUCUCAAGGUUCUGGGACCUGUCAAGAAAGACCCGGCUAACUACGCUCAAGCAGCCGCGGUAAUACGUAGGGGGCAAGCGUUGUCCGGAAUUAUUGGGCGUAAAGCGCGCGCAGGCGGCUAUUUAAGUCUGGUGUUUAAUACAUGGGCUCAACCUAUGUUCGCAUCGGAAACUGGGUAGCUUGAGUGUAGGAGAGGAAAGUGGAAUUCCACGUGUAGCGGUGAAAUGCGUAGAGAUGUGGAGGAACACCAGUGGCGAAGGCGACUACCUGGACUGAUACUGACACUGAGGUGCGAAAGCGUGGGGAGCAAACA